This 1320-nucleotide ribosomal RNA is filed under the name Mycolicibacterium sp. RNAcentral describes it as "bacterial SSU rRNA". It matches the Rfam family "Bacterial small subunit ribosomal RNA", at positions 93 to 1422 of the family's 1533-position model. The record is from RNAcentral. Lineage: Bacteria; Bacillati; Actinomycetota; Actinomycetes; Mycobacteriales; Mycobacteriaceae.
GAGUGGCGAACGGGUGAGUAACACGUGGGUGAUCUGCCCUGCACUUUGGGAUAAGCCUGGGAAACUGGGUCUAAUACCGAAUACACCCUGCUGGUCGCAUGGCCUGGUGGGGGAAAGCUUUUGCGGUGUGGGAUGGGCCCGCGGCCUAUCAGCUUGUUGGUGAGGUUACGGCUCACCAAGGCGACGACGGGUAGCCGGCCUGAGAGGGUGACCGGCCACACUGGGACUGAGAUACGGCCCAGACUCCUACGGGAGGCAGCAGUGGGGAAUAUUGCACAAUGGGCGCAAGCCUGAUGCAGCGACGCCGCGUGAGGGAUGACGGCCUUCGGGUUGUAAACCUCUUUCGCCAGGGACGAAGCGCAAGUGACGGUACCUGGAGAAGAAGGACCGGCCAACUACGUGCCAGCAGCCGCGGUAAUACGUAGGGUCCGAGCGUUGUCCGGAAUUACUGGGCGUAAAGAGCUCGUAGGUGGUUUGUCGCGUUGUUCGUGAAAACUCACAGCUUAACUGUGGGCGUGCGGGCGAUACGGGCAGACUGGAGUACUGCAGGGGAGACUGGAAUUCCUGGUGUAGCGGUGGAAUGCGCAGAUAUCAGGAGGAACACCGGUGGCGAAGGCGGGUCUCUGGGCAGUAACUGACGCUGAGGAGCGAAAGCGUGGGGAGCGAACAGGAUUAGAUACCCUGGUAGUCCACGCCGUAAACGGUGGGUACUAGGUGUGGGUUUCCUUCCUUGGGAUCCGUGCCGUAGCUAACGCAUUAAGUACCCCGCCUGGGGAGUACGGCCGCAAGGCUAAAACUCAAAGAAAUUGACGGGGGCCCGCACAAGCGGCGGAGCAUGUGGAUUAAUUCGAUGCAACGCGAAGAACCUUACCUGGGUUUGACAUGCACAGGACGUAUCUAGAGAUAGGUAUUCCCUUGUGGCCUGUGUGCAGGUGGUGCAUGGCUGUCGUCAGCUCGUGUCGUGAGAUGUUGGGUUAAGUCCCGCAACGAGCGCAACCCUUAUCUUAUGUUGCCAGCGCGUAAUGGCGGGGACUCGUGAGAGACUGCCGGGGUCAACUCGGAGGAAGGUGGGGAUGACGUCAAGUCAUCAUGCCCCUUAUGUCCAGGGCUUCACACAUGCUACAAUGGCCGGUACAAAGGGCUGCGAUGCCGUGAGGUGGAGCGAAUCCUUGUUAAAGCCGGUCUCAGUUCGGAUCGGGGUCUGCAACUCGACCCCGUGAAGUCGGAGUCGCUAGUAAUCGCAGAUCAGCAACGCUGCGGUGAAUACGUUCCCGGGCCUUGUACACACCGCCCGUCACGUCAUGAAAGUCGGUAACACCC